Molecule: ribosomal RNA, 301 nt
Filed under: uncultured bacterium
Lineage: Bacteria
Description: partial 16S ribosomal RNA
Rfam family: Bacterial small subunit ribosomal RNA
Source: RNAcentral
CAGCAGCCGCGGUAAUACGUAGGGUGCAAGCGUUGUCCGGAAUUAUUGGGCGUAAAGGGCUCGCAGGCGGUUUCUUAAGUCUGAUGUGAAAGCCCCCGGCUCAACCGGGGAGGGUCAUUGGAAACUGGGAAACUUGAGUGCAGAAGAGGAGAGUGGAAUUCCACGUGUAGCGGUGAAACGCGUAGAGAUGUGGAGGAACACCAGUGGCGAAGGCGACUCUCUGGUCUGUAACUGACGCUGAGGAGCGAAAGCGUGGGGAGCGAACAGGAUUAGAUACCCCUGUAGUCCCUGUCUCUUAUAC